UACACACCGCCCGUCACGCCAUGGAAGCUGGGGGACCUGAAGCCGGUGGGCUAACCGCAAGGAGGCAGCCGUCAAAGGUCAAUUCAGUGACUGGGGCG
This 98-nucleotide ribosomal RNA is filed under the name uncultured bacterium. Its description in RNAcentral is "partial 16S ribosomal RNA". It matches the Rfam family "Bacterial small subunit ribosomal RNA", at positions 1384 to 1482 of the family's 1533-position model. The record is from RNAcentral.